Long non-coding RNA from Oncorhynchus keta (chum salmon), 2569 nucleotides. RefSeq lists it as uncharacterized. The record is from RefSeq and is a predicted model, not a curated record. NCBI's taxonomy places the organism in Eukaryota, Metazoa, Chordata, Actinopteri, Salmoniformes, Salmonidae. The transcript is spliced from 4 exons.
ACCUGGUCUUCAUGUUGUCAUAACCAAGCCUACAUCACCUGUAUAGGUACAACACCUGGUCUUCAUGUUGUCAUAACCAAGCCUCUGUAUAGGUACAACACCUGGUCUUCAUGUUGUAAUAACCAAGCCUACAUCACCUGUAUAGGUACACCACCUGGUCUUCAUGUUGUCAUAACCAAGCCUACAUCACCUGUAUAGGUACAACACCUGGUCUUCAUGUUGUCAUAACCAAGCCUACAUCACCUGUAUAGGUACAACACCUGGUCUUCAUGUUGUAAUAACCAAGCCUACAUCACCUGUAUAGGUACACCACCUGGUCUUCAUGUUGUCAUAACCAAGCCUACAUCACCUGUAUAGGUACAACACCUGGUCUCCAUGUUGUCAUAACCAAGCCUACAUCACCUGGUCCUCAUGUUGUCAUAACCAAGCCUACAUCACCUGGUCCUCAUGUUGUCAUAACCAAGCCUAAAUCACCUGUAUAGGUACAACACCUGGUCUUCAUGUUGUCAUAACCAAGCCUACAUCACCUGUAUAGGUACAACACCUGGUCUUCAUGUUGUCAUAACCAAGCCUACAUCACCUGUAUAGGUACACCACCUGGUCUUCAUGUUGUCAUAACCAAGCCUACAUCACCUGUAUAGGUAAAACACCUGGUCUCCAUGUUGUCAUAACCAAGCCUACGUCACCUGUAUAGGUAAAACACCUGGUCUUCAUGUUGUCAUAACCAAGCCUCUGUAUAGGUACAACACCUGGUCUUCAUGUUGUCAUAACCAAGCCUACGUCACCUGUAUAGGUACAACACCUGGUCUUCAUGUUGUCAUAACCAAGCCUACGUCACCUGUAUAGGUACAACACCUGGUCUCCAUGUUGUCAUAACCAAGCCUACAUCACCUGUAUAGGUACACCACCUGGUCUUCAUGUUGUAAUAACCAAGCCUACAUCACCUGUAUAGGUACAACACCUGGUCCUCAUGUUGUAAUAACCAAGCCUACAUCACCUGUAUAGGUACACCACCUGGUCUUCAUGUUGUCAUAACCAAGCCUACAUCACCUGUAUAGGUAAAACACCUGGUCUUCAUGUUGUCAUAACCAAGCCUCUGUAUAGGUACAACACCUGGUCUUCAUGUUGUAAUAACCAAGCCUACAUCACCUGUAUAGGUACACCACCUGGUCUUCAUGUUGUCAUAACCAAGCCUACAUCACCUGUAUAGGUACACCACCUGGUCUUCAUGUUGUAAUAACCAAGCCUACAUCACCUGUAUAGGUACAACACCUGGUCUUCAUGUUGUCAUAACCAAGCCUACAUCACCUGUAUAGGUACAACACCUGGUCUUCAUGUUGUAAUAACCAAGCCUACAUCACCUGUAUAGGUACAACACCUGGUCUUCAUGUUGUCAUAACCAAGCCUACAUCACCUGUAUAGGUACAACACCUGGUCUUCAUGUUGUCAUAACCAAGCCUACAUCACCUGUAUAGGUACAACACCUGGUCUCCAUGUUGUCAUAACCAAGCCUACAUCACCUGUAUAGGUACAACACCUGGUCUCCAUGUUGUCAUAACCAAGCCUACAUCACCUGUAUAGGUACAACACCUGGUCUUCAUGUUGUCAUAACCAAGCCUACAUCACCUGUAUAGGUACAACACCUGGUCUUCAUGUUGUAAUAACCAAGCCUACAUCACCUGUAUAGGUACACCACCUGGUCCUCAUGUUGUCAUAACCAAGCCUACGUCACCUGUAUAGGUACAACACCUGGUCUCCAUGUUGUCAUAACCAAGCCUACGUCACCUGUAUAGGUACAACACCUGGUCUUCAUGUUGUCAUAACCAAGCCUACGUCACCUGUAUAGGUACACCACCUGGUCUUCAUGUUGUCGGAGGCUGAUCCCCAGCUGGCAGACACAGUGAGAAAGGAAUUUCCCGUCUCCCUCAGCCCAAGCUGAUCCACGAGCUCUCCUCUUCCUUCUCCAGACUCCGGUAUCCACAGUGGAUCCUGUUAUAUCCAUGGACUACCACACUGGGCAUACAGAGAGGUUGUAUACCAAUACACUUGGACUGUACUGUGAGAAAACAUGGUGUCCACUGUUUUAAUGUUUCGUUUUGUAGAUCUUGGUCUUUAAAAAUGGAAAGGGGGCGAAAAGAAGAAGAUAAAACACAAUUAUUUGUUUGUUUAACUUGUUUAAAAUAAAAUGGUAUUGUUAUUUGAUAUCGUGUUUUAAUCAUGUAGUAUCUCCUAUGUGGCUAGAAAAGGAUCAUUACAUUGUAUAUUCCAAUGUGGCCCUACUGUAUUUUUCAGUGUCGGGAUGCAAAAUGUUCCUCACGUUCCCGGGUAUUCCAGAAAUCCUGGUUGGAGGCUCCGGAUUUCCUGCUUAAUCCCUCCUGAUUCCAGGGAACCUCCAUCUGGGAUUUCUGGGAAAACAUGUUCAUUUUGGGGAAAGUUAUCACCAUUUUGCAGUCAUGUUUCUGUCAGUCUGUAGACAAGGAGAGCUUUUCCCAGCUCAUAACACAGAUAAUUGAAUGGACUUAUUUACCCAGUCAACUUGUUGCUGUUUUUAAUAAAGAUAUUAAAUAUU